UGAGCAUCUCAUUUUGAAGAUAGUGUGGUGUUCAAGAAACUAACAUCUGCUGGAAAACAAUGAUGCACAACCCAGUUUUGAAACCUACUGACUUCUAAGGCUCUCAUCUCUGAGUAUGCUACAGCCUGGAGAAUCAUGCAUUUGAGCAGGUGUUAAAGAAUUAAUGGAAUGGAUUAGUUAUAUCUUUAUGUAAAUAAGAACCUUUGUUCAGAAGAUAUUUCUCCCUUCUUCAUCCAUGACCAUAAUCUGGG
This 251-nucleotide long non-coding RNA is filed under the name Ficedula albicollis (Collared flycatcher). RNAcentral's name for it is "lncRNA (ENSFALG00000023576.1)". Lineage: Eukaryota; Metazoa; Chordata; Aves; Passeriformes; Muscicapidae. The record is from RNAcentral.